This 1365-nucleotide long non-coding RNA is filed under the name Prunus persica (peach). RNAcentral's name for it is "long non-coding RNA (PPER_LNC004133)". Lineage: Eukaryota; Viridiplantae; Streptophyta; Magnoliopsida; Rosales; Rosaceae. The record is from RNAcentral.
UCCGACUACGCAUACGCAGCAGGCGGGACCCUCUCAGGGUCAAGCAGCGUGGGACUACUUGUGAGUGGACUUUGUUUUCGAAUCUAUGCAUGGUUUUAUUGAUGAAAGAUUUAUGCAUAAUGUUUUUAAUGAUUUAUUGAAUAUAUUAUAUUCAUGAGUUGAACUUGAUGUUUUUAUAGCGCUUUGGUAAAAUAUGUGGCUUUGGCAUAGUUGGGUAUUGAAAGUAUAUUUUAUAUGGAUUUUGGGAAAUAUUAUGCAUGAUGUUUUAAAUGGUAUUUUGGAUAUAUUAUUUAUGAAAUUGUUGAAAGUGAUACUUUUAUGAGGCAUUGAAAAUAUAUUUUGGGUUUUGACGUAUUUGAGUAUCUUGAGUAUGAAUAUAUGGAUUUUGGGGAUUUCUAUAUAUAUAUAUAUAUAUUUGGCUAUGUGUGAGGUACUUGGGUUGUUGAGAUGAAAUUGUGGAAAGUGGUGAGUAUAGAAUGUCAGUUUGGUGUGCUGUAAGCACAACCCUAUGUACCUCCCCGGAUGUGGAACUUGGAUACGGAGACUUGAGAUACUUGGAAUUGUCGGGACCCGGGGCAUCCUUGAUGGGAUGUUGCUGUAGACCCUUAAUUGGGUAGUCUGCGCGCGUAGGACUGUUCACAGACGUACGGGUUUUGAGGUUACCGACGGUACGUUCUGGCUGAGAGUUGGUCCCCCAGUUGGACGGCUCGUUCCCUAGUCACAUGGUGGAUUGAGGACUCAUCACGAGGACUCUGCCAGGGUGACUAGUCAAACAAUCCCCCGGUUGGAUUGUUUCCCCGGUACAACUAGGUGAUGGUUAUAUUUAUAUUAUAUAUAUAUAUAUCUCUUAUAUUAUAUAUUUAUAUCUAUUCAUUCAUUCUUGUUUCUCGGUGUGGAUACUUCCUUGCCGGUCGUGCCAAUGGGUACGCUUUCGAGAGUUUGGUUGUGGGAUUUAUAAGUUUUGGAUGGUGGGUUUUGUAAAGCGUUCGUUUUGGAUUUCAGACUUGGCAUCUGGUAUCGAUUUGUUUUGAUAUAUAUAUUAUAUAUAUAUACAUAUAUACGUGAGUAUGACGGUUUUGAGAUGCAUGGGAUUUCUUGCAUGGUUUUCUAAACGGUGGGGUUAUAUUACGUUGGUUUACACUGAACUGAAUUUAUUUUUGUCCACUCACAAUUUUCUGUUUUGCGCCCCCCCAGCCAGUAGUUGACUGAGCUCCGCAGUAGAGCCGGAUCGUGCGCUUCCGAGCCUUGAGUCAUCGUAGGACUCUUUCUUCAUGUUAUUUCCUUUGUACUCUGUUUUGUUGAAAUUGAAGUUCUUAGACAUGCUCUGUUAUCGCCCCCGUUAGGGUUUGAAUUGUGAGGCCGGAG